Molecule: long non-coding RNA, 1718 nt
Organism: Boleophthalmus pectinirostris (great blue-spotted mudskipper)
Lineage: Eukaryota; Metazoa; Chordata; Actinopteri; Gobiiformes; Gobiidae
Exons: 3
Source: RefSeq, a predicted model, not a curated record
UUUAGGCCCCAUUAAACAAAAAAAAUGACCUCUGCUGCUGUGAGCACCUUUUUCUACAUUUCCUACCUGUAUAUAGCAGACAAGUGCUUAUGUGUUUAAGUUGAUCUUUUUAAAAUGGCUAAGCCCUUGUUUUGACACCAAGAACUGUGCCCCUUUCCUUCACACUGCCCACUUUUAAUUGAUGUUUCACUAAUCCUUGAUUUACUAAACGUGAAGAUGUCAUGGGUAUUUAGUGUUUAGCAAUGUGUUUUUAUUUGUUUGUUUAGCAGCUACAAUCAAGUAUCUGUCAUGAUUAUUUUUUAACACUUAGGGCUGAGAUUUGGUCAUGGAUGGUACAAUGUAUGUAAAAACAAAUCUCAUUAUUUUGGUGUCUUUUUGAUGAAACUGGAAUUAUUGUCUGUUUGAAUAAACAGUUGUGAAGAAGUGGUUCCUUGUAAGAUAAUUAGUCUAUUUUAAAACAUAUUUGUCAGUCUCUUCAUCAUAUUUAUGUUCAUUGUGUCAACAUAAGUAUUAUUAAUUUAUUAGAUUAAUUUCUUAAUAGGCCUAUAAUGAACUAUAAACACAAUAAGUGCCCUAGAUAACACCAUACUGGAGUGGCAUGGCUAAUGGUAGUCAUUUUAAAGAUGCACUAUGGAACUUUUCGAGGAUCUGCUACCUGCCUGUUUCUGUUGAGUCAAUUAAAUGUGUGUUAUUGCUAUAAAUUCUAGGUAAAGCAAAACUAUCUACAUGGAGUCAAGCAGGUAGCGGACUCUUCAUCAGAAAAGUUCCGUAGUACACCUUUAAGUUUGGCAUUUGAAACAAAACUGUCGCCCUUCACCCUGCUCAGACAUUUGCUCGGAGGCACGGCUCUGGAUGUGCUAAACUUAGCGGUGACACUCUUCGACACAGCGACAGUCGACUCUACAGUGAGCUACAAUGGAAGGUGUCGAGUUUCCUCACACGGGACAGUUUCUCCACGGGAAAGCUGCAAAAACAAGAUGUAGUUUUGUUAUAGCAGCGUCUACCCUUCUUGUAGUCUUCUCCUCUGUGUGUCUUUGAUGGGCAACUAUAGCUCAGUCCUCAUUCCGGGUAAGCCUCAUAACUAUAACCUUUUAAGUGAAAAAACGAAACAAAAGAAAAAACAUGAAAACACUGGAGAGCAAAAACUGAACUGUUUAUUUUAUUUUAAAGAUACUGAAGAAUUUGAGUCUAUUGUGGCUCUAGUGACAGAAAAACCAAAUGAGCCCAGCCGUUUACUGUCCGAGCUUCAGACUCUGGGAAGUAUUCCACUCAUAGCUGUAUAUACUGUACAUUUUAUCAUCAUUAAAAUGACUCAACAUGUGUAACAGUGUUUACCUCCACUUAAACAUUGUGUCAUUUUAUUCAUUCAUUCUACAGUAACACGUGGGAGUUUUGUUUUGGCCUGUGUGUCCUUGGGAUGAUUUUAACUUCCUUUGGCUGACUCAGAUGACCACUCAUUGAAACACUAGAUAACUUGGCUCUGACCUUCUACUAAACUUUCAGUAUGAUGAAUUUAAAUUUAAUUCAGUGAUCAGAUAUCUUGAAAUCUUGUCUUACAGGUGAAUAUGGAAUCAGGGAGAGGAAAUGACCAAUGUGUUGAUGAAGAUUCAAGUAAAGAAAAGUCUGACACUUCUAUAUCAGCAACAUCAAAAGGAGAGCCUCCAGCUUCCAGUUUGGGUGAUUCCCUCUCCUCUCUGCUUCCCAAAGCCUUGUCCGCU